AGAGUUUGAUCAUGGCUCAGAGUGAACGCUGGCGGCGUGCCUAACACAUGCAAGUCGAGCGAAGCAACUGUCUGUAGCAAUACAGAUAAGUGCUUAGCGGCAGACGGGUGAGUAACACGUAGAUAACCUGCCCUUCAAAGGGGGAUAGCCAGCCGAAAGGUUGGGUAAUACCGCGUACGAUUCCAAAAGGGCAUCUUUUUGGAAUGAAACAUCCGCAAGGAUGGAUGAAGGAGGGAUCUGCGGCCUAUCAGGUAGUUGGUGAGGUAAUGGCUCACCAAGCCAAUGACGGGUAUCCGACCUUAAAGGGUGAACGGACACACUGACACUGGGACACGGGUCAGACUCCUACGGGAGGCAGCAGUGAGGAAUUUUGGACAAUGGGGGAAACCCUGAUCCAGCGACGCCGCGUGGAGGACGAAGGUCUUCGGAUUGUAAACUCCUUUUCUCCGAGAAUAAGAAACCUCUAGAAAUAGAGGGAGUGAAUGUACCGGAGGAAUAAGCCACGGCUAACUUCGUGCCAGCAGCCGCGGUAAUACGAAGGUGGCAAGCGUUACUCGGAAUUACUAGGCGUAAAGCGCGGGUAGGUGGUUCUGUAAGUCAGUUGUGUAAGCUCCCGGCUCAACUGGGAGAGGUCAACUGAUACUGCAGGACUUGAGUGUGGGAGAGGAUACUGGAAUUCCCGGUGUAGCGGUGAAAUGCGCUGAGUUCGGGAGGAACACCAAAGGCGAAAGCAGGUAUCUGGACCACUACUGACACUGAGCCGCGAAAGCUAGGGGAGCAAACAGGAUUAGAUACCCGGUAGUCCUAGCUGUAAACGAUGCACAUUAGACGUGAGGGGUAUUGACCCCCUUCGUGUCGCAGCAAACGCAUUAAAUGUGCCGCCUGGGGAGUACGGCCGCAAGGUUGAAACUCAAAGGAAUUGACGGGGGCCCGCACAAGCGGUGGAGCAUGUGGUUUAAUUCGACGCAACGCGAAGAACCUUAUCCUGGGUUUGAACUACUAGAAGUAGACCUAUCGAAAGACUGGUCGGCCUGUAAAGUCAGGAGCUAGCAGAGGUGCUGCAUGGCUGUCGUCAGCUCGUGUCGUGAGAUGUUGGGUUAAGUCCCGCAACGAGCGCAACCCCUAUCCCAUGUUGCCACGUCCGUAAUAGACAGCACUCUUGGGAAACUGCCUCGGAUAACGGGGAGGAAGGUGGGGAUGACGUCAAGUCCUCAUGGCCUUUAUGUCCAGGGCUACACACGUGCUACAAUGGCCGGUACAACGAGCAGCAAAUCCGCAAGGAGGAGCAAAUCUCUAAAAGCCGGCCCCAGUUCAGAUAGUGGGCUGCAACCCGCCCACUUGAAGGCGGAAUCGCUAGUAAUCGGGGAUCAUCUGGCCCCGGUGAAUACGUUCCCGGGCCUUGUACACACCGCCCGUCACACCACGAAAGCUGGGUGCAACCGAAGUCGGUGAUUUAACCGCAAGGGAAUAGCCGCCGAAGUUGUGACCAGUGAUUGGGGUGAAAUCGUAACAAGGUA
Molecule: ribosomal RNA, 1517 nt
Filed under: metagenome
Description: bacterial SSU rRNA
Rfam family: Bacterial small subunit ribosomal RNA
Source: RNAcentral